RNAcentral lists this long non-coding RNA (370 nucleotides) under Lathyrus oleraceus (garden pea). Its description in RNAcentral is "Pisum sativum (pea) long non-coding RNA (PSAT_LNC016296)". Lineage: Eukaryota; Viridiplantae; Streptophyta; Magnoliopsida; Fabales; Fabaceae. The record is from RNAcentral.
AAACCAAUAUUUUUUUAUUAUUUCUAAAAUUACCCAUCUUUGAAAUUGAGUUUGAGUUUCAAUUGAUUACAUAUAAGGUAAUGGCAAAUCAAGAAGCACUAUAUAUUACAAUUAAGAUAAACCAUUCACAAAAAGCAGCUAAAUAACUAACUGCAGAGGCAUCGAAAAUUUCAAGAAACUAAUUAUCAUUUUGAAACUUUAAUUACACAUAUUGGAUUCGAUAAAUUAAUAUGUUGAUAUUCAAUAUUUAGAAUUUUUUAUUUAUAUAAAUAAAUCUUUAAAUUUUUUUUAAACAGAUAUAUACAAUUAAAAUCAAGAUAAAGAAAGUUCUAACAAUUCAAAUUAGACAAAACUAUAAAUUAUAAGGGAU